CAGCUGAGAGACAAGCGAUACCAAGCUCCUGGAGCACUGAUGAGGGCGACAGAGAGGAGGAGAAGAAGAGAGGGAGGAAAAUAGAAGGAGAUGAGUAAAGAAGAAAGUGAGUGAGAAAGUGAAUAAAGAGUUGGAAAUGCAGAGCAUGGAAAGUAGGAGAGUAAGAGAAAGAUGAGGAGAAAGAAGAAGAAGAACGUAGUAGAAAAAGAGGCAGGAAGUAUGAAGAUAUAGCACGGGAAGAUAAAUGCUAUAGAAACAAAAAAGAGUGUUCAGGAAGCAGAGGAGGGAGUUUUGAGUGAUAGCGAACAUACUGUAGAUGAAAGCUGUCGAAGGAGUGAGACGCUGAGAAGCGUCAGCAUUGUCAGAGCAUGUUCAGCCCUCAGGGACAGCCGGGGGCCGGCCGUCAGCCUUUAUUUGGAGAGCAGAAGCUUUUCCACACUACCUGAAAUCAGCUGAGAGGUUAAGUCGUGGUGUGUGCAAGCUGUCAGCAUCAGAUCAUCGUCCUCAAAGUGUGGGGGCAAGAAGGAAAGAUGUCGGGUGCCCCCCGGUGGAGACAGUGUGUACUGUGUGCAAAGUGCUCCCCCCCCUCUCCUUUCAGUGUGUGUUAGUUAAUCACCAUCUGCUGCUGCAGUUAGUUGUAUAGCAAAAGUGGAGAGGAAAGUUUCCUCAGAGUUUUACAGGACCCACUUUGCUGCCUCUCGAGACAUGUCAAGCUUUCACCACCUCUGGAAAUAUUAUUUUCUGUCUGUCAAAUUGUAUUUUAUUUGGCAUUUUUCAUAGUUUUAAAUAAAGAAACAGGGUGGGAGGUUCUAAUAACAAAAUGUCUGCGUAAAAUAGGUUCAUUGCUAAGUUGUCUGUUGUAUGACACAACAAUGGUUUUUCACUUGUACCUUUUUAGACAAGUGUCUUAAAAACAUUCAAAAAAUUCAGAAAUCCAAAAAUUCUGAAAAUGAUCCAGUGCAAUGUCUGAAGAAAAGCUUUGAGAGACUUUCAGAAAGCCUGGAGAACAAAGAAAGAAAAAAGAAAAAAAGAAAUAAAACUAAAAAGCAAAAAAGAAAGUCUAGCAAAUUGAAAGCAAAAUAUCAGGAAAUGAGGGGUGGCUUGAGACUUUUUGUAUAUAUUUCGGUAUCUCUUUUUUCUUCUCUGAAAUGCUUGUAGGGUUGCUUCAUGUUAGACUGUCAGUUUAUUCUGAAUGUCCUGGUGUAAGUAGUAAUGCAUAAGAGUGCAAAGAAUAAAAGAAUAAUUUUGAACAAA
Molecule: long non-coding RNA, 1254 nt
Organism: Oreochromis niloticus (Nile tilapia)
Lineage: Eukaryota; Metazoa; Chordata; Actinopteri; Cichliformes; Cichlidae
Exons: 4
Source: RefSeq, a predicted model, not a curated record